This 75-nucleotide transfer RNA is filed under the name Eucoleus annulatus. RNAcentral's name for it is "tRNA-Gly". Lineage: Eukaryota; Metazoa; Nematoda; Enoplea; Trichinellida; Capillariidae. The record is from RNAcentral.
UGUUAUUUUAGUGUAUAUAUUUAAGCACUUUUAAUUUCCAAUUAAAUAGAUAUGAUAACACACAUAAAUUAUCAU